Molecule: ribosomal RNA, 253 nt
Filed under: uncultured bacterium
Lineage: Bacteria
Description: partial 16S ribosomal RNA
Rfam family: Bacterial small subunit ribosomal RNA
Source: RNAcentral
UACGGAGGGUGCGAGCGUUGUCCGGAAUCACUGGGCGUAAAGGGCGCGUAGGCGGCCUGGCAAGUCGAUGGUGAAAGCCCGAGGCUCAACUUCGGGUCGGCCACUGAUACUGCUGGGCUUGAGUCGACUAGAGGCAGAUGGAAUUCCGGGUGUAGUGGUGGAAUGCGUAGAGCUCCGGAGGAACACCAGUGGCGAAGGCGGCCGCCUGGGCCAGUCCUGACGCUGAGCCGCGAAAGCGUGGGGAGCGAUCCGG